This 339-nucleotide ribosomal RNA is filed under the name uncultured soil bacterium. RNAcentral describes it as "bacterial SSU rRNA". It matches the Rfam family "Bacterial small subunit ribosomal RNA", at positions 26 to 365 of the family's 1533-position model. The record is from RNAcentral.
AGAUUGAACGCUGGCGGCAUGCCUUACACAUGCAAGUCGAACGGCAGCACGGGAGCAAUCCUGGUGGCGAGUGGCGAACGGGUGAGUAAUACAUCGGAACGUGCCCAAUCGUGGGGGAUAACGCAGCGAAAGCUGUGCUAAUACCGCAUAAGAUCUACGGAUGAAAGCAGGGGAUCGCAAGACCUUGCGCGAAUGGAGCGGCCGAUGGCAGAUUAGGUAGUUGGUGAGGUAAAGGCUCACCAAGCCUUCGAUCUGUAGCUGGUCUGAGAGGACGACCAGCCACACUGGGACUGAGACACGGCCCAGACCUCCGUACGGGAGCAGCAGGUGGGGAAUUUU